RNAcentral lists this transfer RNA (61 nucleotides) under Alectorobius fonsecai. RNAcentral's name for it is "tRNA-Asp". The record is from RNAcentral. Lineage: Eukaryota; Metazoa; Arthropoda; Arachnida; Ixodida; Argasidae.
GAAAAACUAGUUAAUACUAUAACAUAAGAUUGUCAUUCUUAAAUUACUUUUGUGUUUUUUA